AAGGCAAAAGGCGGUUGGUGGGUGCGAGGGCAACGCGCGCGCCCUCUGGUGGCCGGAGUUGCGCAGGACGGGAGCAUCGUGCUGAGUGGUGACCGUUGGUCUCGCGCCCCCUGGCCGUUUCGCGUGGAAUCACUUCAAAUUUCCAUCACUGCUGAUAGCAAGUUUGGGAGGCUACAAACAUGUGGAAACAAAGGAACUGGCAGGUUUUCGGUUUUUUCUUUUCCUUUCCUUACUAAAGAGCUGUAUGUUACACAGAAAAAUGCAAUCCCUCGAGAUGUCUGAGAGAGAGGGCGCACGCGACGCUCCCUUCCCGCGCACCUUGGCCAGCCGAGGGCUCUCGUUGCCCCGCGCCCGGGGAACCCAACGUUGCCCCUCUCAGCUAGUCUCGUGAAGUCCGGCGGUUUUGGCGGUUUGUGGCGGCUCUGGGGCUUGCGGGGCCCUCCGGGAUCCUCCUAGAACUGCAGACAGACAUUUCUUCUGGUCCCACGUGGUGACACAGGACUUCCGGACACGCCAGCGCAGAAAACUGGACUUCCUUGGGGUGCAGGUCUACAUGGAGGAGGGCCGGACUCCCUGGAGGCCGCUCAGUUACUCCUCUGCACUGUUGAUUGAAGGACAUGACUGUGGAGGCCUAAGAAGACUCAUGUGGAUCAUUUGCAGGUAGCUAUCAGGGGCUGAGCAGCCUGCAAGAUGAGGCCAAAAACACUGCAACCAUCCUUCAAAUGCUGAGUCCUGCCUGUGGCCCUCUGUACCAGUACAUCUGCAGGGGGCCUCCUGUGGUUCUACCUAGUGAAGAAAGGUCACACAGGCCUCCUCAACCCUGAAGGACAAACGUUUGCAGCAAGGACAGGAUCCUGCCCUGUGUUGUAAAGAAUAUCUGAGGAGGUCACAGGUCCCUCACCAGACAGAAAUUCCCAGGCUGGACAACACCCCCAGGGCCACUGUCCUUGGGCCCAAAGGGAAGAUGCACACACUCCAGGGGCCAAGAUGGAAACUCUUGAGUCCACAGUGUCCUUUCAGAACCAGCAGGGGACAGCUACCCAAAACCUUUUUGCCCCUCUCUGCCUCUUUUUCCAAGGUAUUUGUUUGUCUAAAGAGACAUUUUCAGUGGCAAUGGCUGGCUGGUCCCUUAAAUGUGCCUGAAGGGAACUGGCUAGUCAAUGUGCAGUGUCUGUGGAAGGGGGCGUUCCCUCCUCCCAGAAGGCAUUCAUCAAGGAGAAGUCACCUUUCAGUGCAGAGUUCUCUACAAAUCUGCUGGAUACUUGGCAGGUAGCCUGGUCCUGGGACCUGCACCCAUCAGCCAUGGAACAAACACAGCAUCAGUGGUCAGUGGUCACUAUCAAUACUUGGUAGUAAAGGGGCACUUUGUCUACAUCCUUCUAUGUGUGGGUUUGGCAGGGACAUGUGUCCUCAUGUGUGGCUCUGCUGCUGUGUUCCUAAUUGGGAAGUAGGUGUCAUUGCAGGGUUUUUAGAGGGACCUGCAUGGUACUCUGAUCUGCCUUGAUUUCCCUUGUUCAAGGCUCUCCUGUUCUGGUCCCUCUGUCACUGUGGAGCUGAGAUCUUGUCUUGCCUUUCCUUCUCUUUGGCUCCUCUUGUCCCAGAGGGAAGAAGAGCCAGGGCUUCUACUCUUACCUGUCCUCCAGCCCAACCUUCAGCCUGUGGCUUUCAUGGCACCUGGCCAAGAUGGCUCCAUAGAGGCCACACCUUUGUCACUCAUGCUUGCUACCCCUGAUCCCCUUGAAUUUGAGAGAAAAAAGGAAGUCCAGGCACCCUAAAUGGGCCACUGAACUUGAAGUCCAUUCUCUGAAGCCAGUUGGAAAAGGAGAAGCCAAGUCCUCUGUGUGUGCUCUGCACAAGCUGAAGAUCCCUGUUGCCUUCUUUCCUGGAGGACACCAGGGGGGCCUGCAGGACUGAAGGAAGCUUGAAGAUCAGGCUGCCCCCAGAAGGAUGACAGUGGGCUCCUGGUGGCACCCUGCUUCUCACCAGUGGAAGCACUUCUGUCCUGUGAGUGUGUGACCACACUCAAACUUUCUGCACAUUCUGAGCCUGAGGAGCCACGUCAUUUCCUCCUACCUUGAAAGCUGACUGGAGAUUCCCAUGGUAUCAGCCCUUGUUAUUAUUGUCCCUCACUCUAAGGACAGAGAGGGUGUGGGAACAGGACACCGACUACUGAAUGUAAGUCUCUGGUCAAAGACUUAGUGUAUGAGUGUGUGCAAGGAUGCAAAGGUCCAUAAGGUUUGUUCUAUGUAUUCUUGUAGAAAUGCAUUAUGAAAAUAGUGAAAUGUUUGGGUAAUUGAAGCUCUGAGCAGGUGCAGUGCAGAGCUUAGAAAUGGAUGAGGGAAGAAUGACUGGAGGCUUCAGACCUCCGCUGAGGGAUGUGAGGCUGGCCAGGGAAUGUCCUGGGGAUGGCCGAGGUAGAGCCUUUCCAGACUGUGAGCAUGGAGUCCUGGGUGUCCUACUCCUCUUCCCCCAAGCAGAUGCCUGGCUGCAGCACACCUGGCUAGGUUCUGCAACUACUGCCAGGUGCUGUUGCUCUUGAUGAAGAGAGCCUCCCUCAAUGCCUCACCAGCAGGAGGGCUGUGAGGGUGUUCUCCGUGUAGGUGCAACCUGCUACUAGAGUUCUGGCCAUUUAGCAGGAUGUGGGGUGAAGGAUGGCUUCAGGAUACUGGUGAAAGCAUCUUUCAGAGUGAGCCAGGGAUCCUGGGGGUGGGGGGGUAGGAGGUGCAGAUGAGCCUGGUAUCUUUGCUUAGUGCCACCGAGGCAGCUCUGACUGCUGGCUGGUCUGGGUCUCUGCCCACAGCUUCAUAUGUGUGCUUGCUUUUUUUGGUUCUUCCGGCUUCUCAGUGUAUUUUGAUUCCAAAUCAAAUGCCUUGUCCUGGUUUUUUCUUUUCCCUUUAUGGAACCUCUGGCCAACACUGGGGCUCUGUGUCCCUAGAGUCUACUGAUUGCUGGUCCUAUGAAAGAUGAUUUGUCCUGCAGCAUGAGGCCGUGGGCAGCAGAGAAGAUCGCAACCUCCAGCACAGAUGCUGGUACUGACACUGGCUAGUUGUUUUGGCCCCAACCUAGGUGUGACCCUCCUCUUGGUGGUCACAGCAUCCAAACCUAGGGACCACUGAGUCAGCAGAAUGGGGCCACACCCCCUUCCUGGACAGGGGGUCUCAGUGGCAGGGAGACUUGUACUCCCAGAAAUUUGCUAUUUGGUCCUCAACUCAGCCCUGAAUGCACCGCUAGAUGGAUUUUUCUCCUUGUCUUAGCUCCAGAAAGGCUCUGAAGUUUGCAGGAUUUGAGAGGUAACCCCUGAUGGGUUUCCCCUUCAGAAGGUCAUAUCUCCUCUUAUCCAUAGAGACAGUUUAUGCUGAUAGUCCUGGGCUCUGUUACUUGGAUCUUCUAGUCUCCUUCCUUCUUAUCAGUGAUUAAGACACUGAUACAUAUGUUUCACUGGACCCUCUUCCCCUUCCCUCUCCUGGGCAUGAGGUCUUCCCCCUGAGUAGGGGUCCCCACUCCUGCCUCUUCUAGGGUGCUCUCAUUUGUGUCUGCUGGGGUCUUAUUGUGGAGUUGGUGAUAGAUUCUUGUCUGUUUGCUGUGUUUCCCAAGCCGAGGGACUUGUGAGAGUCUACAAACGAUAUAGAGAGAUUAUGCUGCUUUGUGCUCCUCAGUCUGCCUCAACCCAUACAAUCCCUGUGAAGGACGAGUGUCAUGGGAAGUUGCAUCCUCAUUGUGUGUUGUGUGAUACCUGCCAAGAAAUAGGGUCCCGUCCUGGUCCAUCUGGACUGCUGUAACAAAGUACCUCAGACUGGGUAACUUCUAAACUACAGAAACUUACUGCUUCCUGUCCUGGAGGCUGGGCAGUCCAUGAUGAAGAAAAUCACAUUCGGUGUUGGCAGAGGCCAGUAUCUCAUGGACAGCACCUCCUAUUUGAGUUCCUCUGGCAGAAGGGACAAGAGAGCUCACCCCAUUGUUCUUGUCAGUGCACCAGUCCCAUUGCUGUGGUUGCAGCUCUCAUGACACUGUUUUCCAGAGAAGAUGGAGGUUCUGGUGACAGUAGAGAACACAGGCACAGAGCCAUCCUUCAUCAGCUUUGUGGCCUGAGGCAUUUGGACAUGAGCCCUUUCUACAUUGAAUGCCUGCCCUCCCCUGCGAAUUUUUGCUGGAAUGAGAGUUCCUCUUUCAGGACAACACCAUUGUGGCGUUUCUGAGUUCCAAUAGGCUUUGGAGUACUGUAAUGGGAAAAGCCAGGCAUGAUGGUGCAUGCCUAUCAUCCUAGAACUCUGGGAGGCUGGGCUGAGAGGAGGGUGGCAAGUUCAAGCCUAGCCUGGGCAAUCAAAGAUUUGUCGAGGCUCUGUCUCAAAAAAAGGAGGGUAAAAAUUGCUGGAGGUGUAGCGCAGUGAGACGGCUGUGGGAUAAGGACCCAGUAUCAUUCACUCACUCUCUCUCUCUCACACACACACACACACACACACUCUUCUUCACUUCACACUUUGUUUCCAUCAGCAAAAAAGUUGUUAAAUUGGUUGCUACUGCUUUCAGCAACAUAAGAAAAAGAAGAUACCCCUUCCACACAAAAAGCCGAAGUGGGUCCCAGUUUAGUCCUCACUAUAACUCCCUGAAGCCCUCACAUCCCUCCCAUCCGCUGAAGCGUGCUGCCGCCUAGCUGACUGUGCAGAAGAAUGUGAGGAUCUGAUGUGGAUUCCCAGCCUCCUGUCAGAGCUCUGGACCCUCAUGAAGGGUCCUCGAGCAUUCUUUUUCUUUUUUAAAAAAAUUCUUUUAUUGGUACAUUUUAGGUAUACAAUACAUUUACAUUCAUCAUUCUAUGUAGAGUAUCAUAUCGUCAGCAAAUAAUGACAGUUUAACUUCUUCUUUUCCUAUCUUUAUUCCUUUUAUUUAUUUCUCUUGUCUAAUUGCUGUGGUUAAUAUUGCCAAAACUACAUUGAAGAGGAGUGGUAGUAAUGGACACCGUUGUCUUGUUCUGAUUUUAGUCUGAAAGUUUUCUGGUUUUGACCAUUUAAUAUGAUGUUGGCUGUUGGUUUUUCAUAGAUAGCCUUAAUCAGGUUGUGAUAAAGACCUUCUAUUCCAAUUUUCUAUGCGGUUUUUAUCAUGAAUGGGUGUUGGAUUUUGUCAAAUGCUUUUUCUGCAUCUAUUGAGAUGAUCAUAUGGUUUUUG
Molecule: non-coding RNA, 5160 nt
Organism: Heterocephalus glaber (naked mole-rat)
Lineage: Eukaryota; Metazoa; Chordata; Mammalia; Rodentia; Bathyergidae
Source: RefSeq, a predicted model, not a curated record